GAUGAACGCCGGCGGCGUGCCUAAUACAUGCAAGUAGAACGCUGAAGCUUGGUGCUUGCACCGAGCGGAUGAGUUGCGAACGGGUGAGUAACGCGUAGGUAACCUGCCUCUUAGCGGGGGAUAACUAUUGGAAACGAUAGCUAAUACCGCAUAAAAGUCGAUAUCGCAUGAUAUUGAUUUGAAAGGUGCAAUUGCAUCACUAAGAGAUGGACCUGCGUUGUAUUAGCUAGUUGGUGAGGUAACGGCUCACCAAGGCGACGAUACAUAGCCGACCUGAGAGGGUGAUCGGCCACACUGGGACUGAGACACGGCCCAGACUCCUACGGGAGGCAGCAGUAGGGAAUCUUCGGCAAUGGGGGCAACCCUGACCGAGCAACGCCGCGUGAGUGAAGAAGGUUUUCGGAUCGUAAAGCUCUGUUGUAAGAGAAGAACGAGUGUGAGAGUGGAAAGUUCACACUGUGACGGUAACUUACCAGAAAGGGACGGCUAACUACGUGCCAGCAGCCGCGGUAAUACGUAGGUCCCGAGCGUUAUCCGGAUUUAUUGGGCGUAAAGCGAGCGCAGGCGGUUAGAUAAGUCUGAAGUUAAAGGCUGUGGCUUAACCAUAGUACGCUUUGGAAACUGUUUAACUUGAGUGCAGAAGGGGAGAGUGGAAUUCCAUGUGUAGCGGUGAAAUGCGUAGAUAUAUGGAGGAACACCGGUGGCGAAAGCGGCUCUCUGGUCUGUAACUGACGCUGAGGCUCGAAAGCGUGGGGAGCAAACAGG
Molecule: ribosomal RNA, 765 nt
Filed under: uncultured Streptococcus sp.
Lineage: Bacteria; Bacillati; Bacillota; Bacilli; Lactobacillales; Streptococcaceae
Description: bacterial SSU rRNA
Rfam family: Bacterial small subunit ribosomal RNA
Source: RNAcentral